UAAAAACACGCCAAUAGGAGUGUUAGAUGAAGUGGAUGCAAGUGAACUAUCAAUCUACUGAAACAAAAGCGGUAAAUGUAUUCGAAGAAGAAAAUGCUCGCGCGACCUGUGCGUCAGACCCGGAUAAACGCACGCGAGCUGACAAAAUCCUUAGUAGCUGUUAUUCAAUACCAUAUGCUCUUAAGGACAACGCCCUGAUGUCCAAGGUCAAUCAGCAAGAAGCUGAGAAGGCACUGUCAAAAUGGUUCACUGGGGCAAGGGACAGAGGAGGACAGAGAGCAUCAAGAAUGCAGAAAAGGAUGUCUAUUUGAGAAAGGUUAUAACUACAGUUGCUGAUUUGAACUGUCAUAGUUCUUUUAUUUUUCUUAAAGGAAAACCUUUUUCAAUAUUUUACCAUGUUCUUCCCUCAACUUAGAUUAAUUAAUACAUACCUCUAUUUUCUCAAUGCGUGCACUUAAAGGUGGGGUGCACAAUUUCUGAAAAAUAAAGUUUUGGAAAAGGGAGUCGGGCCGACUACCAAAACACACUUGUAGCCAAUCAGCAGCAUGUC
Paramisgurnus dabryanus is the source of this 550-nucleotide non-coding RNA. The record is from RefSeq and is a predicted model, not a curated record. Lineage: Eukaryota; Metazoa; Chordata; Actinopteri; Cypriniformes; Cobitidae.